This is a non-coding RNA of Coturnix japonica (Japanese quail), 1042 nucleotides long. NCBI's taxonomy places the organism in Eukaryota, Metazoa, Chordata, Aves, Galliformes, Phasianidae. The record is from RefSeq and is a predicted model, not a curated record.
CGAGCCCUACCCAGCUUCAUAAUUUAUACCCUCCUCUGAUGUGGAAAUCAGAUGGAGCCACUGGCGAGAGGUGGUUGAAAGGAUCAUCAGCUGUGUUGCCAUAUGGAAGCACUAUGAUCGGGCAGGGCUGAACGCUGGGAACCUGAUAACAUCCCACCCAAACCUUUAAGUUCAGGGGCAGUUUUUCCAUGGACUUCAAGCACUGAGUGUGGCACUCACUAUGCUCUGCUGUUAACUCCUUGGUCUCAGCCGUGAAGUCCGUCACUGUGCUACCACAAUGGAACCGAAUGGCUGCCCUGAGCAUCCUCAGGUGGGUUUGUUAUCAGCUGUCAAGUGUUAGGGAUGGAAAAUCCACAUGGGAGCAGCCCAGGCACUGAGGAGAGGGAUGUACAAGAGGACCAAUCUCAGAAGCUUUGUAGUGGAGCAAGAAUCAAAAUAAUCUCCAUCAAGGAGAACUGUUGGACUGAAAUUGGAUGGCCUAACCAGUCUCUCUCCAAUGGCUGCUUUUCAUUGGGUUUUUCACUGCAGCAUGGAGAUCUCACUUACUCCGCAAUUGCCUUCCAGUAGAACUUCAAAAGGCAAAAAACAAACACAAGGAGUUGGAAUGGACAGUACUUCAGGCAUCUUAAAAUGUUGAAAGCACCAACGGUUUUCAAUAAAGCUAUCUUGAUUUACAAUUUCUUUUUAAAGGACGGCAGAUCUUGAUUAUUCCUAGGAUAUAUUAAAAAAAAAAAAAAAGAAAAGAAAAAAAAACUUGAAGGUAUUUUUGUCAAAUAUUUUCAUUCCUUUUCCAGAGGAAAUAGUUGGUUUUAUAACUGCAGAUGCCUCUUCGUGAGCUGUUCAAGAAAAAUCCCAUGAUUUUCCAUUCAUUAGCCAACCCAGGCUUGCUGGUGCAUCCACAGGAGACAGAAGGUGUUCCCAUUCUACAACUGGAACACAGUGUUUACAAUUGUAUGGCGUCCUAAUAAUGAACAACUUUCUUUGACGUCCCUCUGGCUGCUAAUUAAAGAGCAGCUGACACUUGCUGGAAAUGCUGAGAACA